This 299-nucleotide long non-coding RNA is filed under the name Medicago truncatula (barrel medic). Its description in RNAcentral is "lncRNA gene13839". The record is from RNAcentral. Lineage: Eukaryota; Viridiplantae; Streptophyta; Magnoliopsida; Fabales; Fabaceae.
AUGAUACUUACCUUGGUAUUGCCUGACAAGUGGUGGGAAGGUGCCUUGCUUGCUCAGUUGAUACAAAAAGGAUACAUAUCAUUCAUUUUCUUCUUCUUAUCCAUUUGAAACGCUGUUAUCUUGUUCAGUUAAUACGUUGUUGUGUUAAGAGAGGAUCAUGAAACUUCAUCAUUGAUAUCUUGUUGUGCUUCCUCUAAGUCUUUCUUUGGGAGAUCUCUGAAGUUUGUUUGUUCCACACACUUUAAAAUCUAAGUUUGUGCUUUACUGUCAAAGAUCUCAAUCUGUUUGUUCUCACACUU